Molecule: non-coding RNA, 100 nt
Organism: Dioszegia hungarica
Lineage: Eukaryota; Fungi; Basidiomycota; Tremellomycetes; Tremellales; Bulleribasidiaceae
Source: the annotation of a RefSeq genome assembly
GCUUCGAUAGUAUAGCGGCUAGUACGAGGGUCUCAUAGUUCACUGUGCGCAUCAAACGAUGUGUAAUCCCUAGAUCUGAGUUCGAUUCUCAGUCGAGGCA